Long non-coding RNA from Mustela erminea (ermine), 782 nucleotides. RefSeq lists it as uncharacterized. Lineage: Eukaryota; Metazoa; Chordata; Mammalia; Carnivora; Mustelidae. The record is from RefSeq and is a predicted model, not a curated record. The transcript is spliced from 6 exons.
AGGCCUCGCCCCAGUCCUUCGCUCUCAAGGAACCUCAGCGGGGCUGUCUUACUUCCGGGAAGGCUGGCAGGCGGUGCGGGGCGGGGGUAACACCAGCCCCAAGGCGCCGUCUCCGCUGGGGGCGUGGCCAUUUUGCCCGCAGGGGCUAGAACCGGAUCCACCCAGGCCGGCCUUUCCGCCCUAACCGCUAUCCCGGUGUAGGAUACGCGGGCUGCACGGGGCGACCCGCAGGUAACCGCGGAAACGCUGGCGAAAUGCGGCCGCGCCCCGCCGUCCCUGCUUCAACGGCACCUGCACACCCGAGACCCGGGAGAACCAACAUCGCGUGCACGCGCCGCCCGUCUGUACGCUCCUCCCAGUCCCCGCGACCCCUCGCCCUUCCACGCGCCGCCCUGCACAGACCCUGCCUGUGACAAGACCUGCUCCUCGCUGGCAGACCUGGCUAACGGGUAAACAUCACUGCGGAGAGCUGGAGGUUUCUGGAGGCAAUGGGGGAGUACAUCUAGCAGCCUAUACAGAGGGAUCCAGCGACUACAUUACAGGAGACAGAAUCUGCAUAAGAUCCAGCAGAUCACAAAGCUUUCUUGCUGGAGCUGGCAGUGGAGAGUACACAGACAAGGUCUAAUUAUGUAGAAUGACUGCCAACCAGCAGUUUAAUCAUAGAAGAUAACACCCAUGGAAAAAAGGAGAUGUGCUUGUGGAGUGGAAGAGCAAGCAGAAUCAUCUGCACUAUUCAAUUUGUAAUCUUUCUUCCUUGGUUAUAUAAUUGAUUCUAAACUGUA